GUAACGGCGAGUGAAGCGGCAACAGCUCAAAUUUGAAAUCUGGCGUCUUUGGCGUCCGAGUUGUAAUUUGCAGAGGGCGCUUUGGCAUUGGCAGCGGUCCAAGUUCCUUGGAACAGGACGUCACAGAGGGUGAGAAUCCCGUACGUGGUCNCUAGCCUUUACCGUGUAAAGCCCCUUCCACGAGUCGAGUUGUUUGGGAAUGCAGCUCUAAAUGGGAGGUAAAUUUCUUCUAAAGCUAAAUACUGGCCAGAGACCGAUAGCGCACAAGUAGAGUGAUCGAAAGAUGAAAAGCACUUUGGAAAGAGAGUUAAAAAGCACGUGAAAUUGUUGAAAGGGAAGCGCUUGCAGCCAGACUUGCCUGUAGUUGCUCAUCCGGGUUUUUACCCGGUGCACUCUUCUAUAGGCAGGCCAGCAUCAGUUUGGGCGGUUGGAUAAAGGUCUCUGUCACGUACCUCCUCUCGGGGAGAACUUAUAGGGGAGACGUAAUGCAACCAGCCUGGACUGAGGUCCGCGCAUCUGCUAGGAUGCUGGCGUAAUGGCUGUAAGCG
RNAcentral lists this ribosomal RNA (548 nucleotides) under Ascochyta sp. OTU2 TS-2013. RNAcentral's name for it is "eukaryotic LSU rRNA". It matches the Rfam family "Eukaryotic large subunit ribosomal RNA", at positions 83 to 646 of the family's 3401-position model. Lineage: Eukaryota; Fungi; Ascomycota; Dothideomycetes; Pleosporales; Didymellaceae. The record is from RNAcentral.